This 76-nucleotide transfer RNA is filed under the name Candidatus Muproteobacteria bacterium RBG_16_65_31. RNAcentral's name for it is "tRNA-Trp". It matches the Rfam family "tRNA". From Rfam's summary of the family: Transfer RNA (tRNA) molecules are approximately 80 nucleotides in length. Their secondary structure includes four short double-helical elements and three loops (D, anti-codon, and T loops). Further hydrogen bonds mediate the characteristic L-shaped molecular structure. tRNAs have two regions of fundamental functional importance: the anti-codon, which is responsible for specific mRNA codon recognition, and the 3' end, to which the tRNAs corresponding amino acid is attached (by aminoacyl-tRNA synthetases). tRNAs cope with the degeneracy of the genetic code in two manners: having more than one tRNA (with a specific anti-codon) for a particular amino acid; and 'wobble' base-pairing, i.e. permitting non-standard base-pairing at the 3rd anti-codon position. RNAcentral also lists the same sequence under 2 other names. Lineage: Bacteria; Pseudomonadati; Pseudomonadota; Candidatus Muproteobacteria. The record is from RNAcentral.
AGGCCAGUAGCUCAACUGGUAGAGCGGCGGUCUCCAAAACCGCAGGUUGGGGGUUCGAGUCCCUCCUGGCCUGCCA